CCUACGGGAGGCAGCAGUGGGGAAUCUUGCGCAAUGGGCGAAAGCCUGACGCAGCCAUGCCGCGUGAAUGAUGAAGGUCUUAGGAUUGUAAAAUUCUUUCACCGGGGACGAUAAUGACGGUACCCGGAGAAGAAGCCCCGGCUAACUUCGUGCCAGCAGCCGCGGUAAUACGAAGGGGGCUAGCGUUGCUCGGAAUUACUGGGCGUAAAGGGAGCGUAGGCGGACAUUUAAGUCAGGGGUGAAAUCCCGGGGCUCAACCUCGGAAUUGCCCUUGAUACUGGGUGUCUUGAGUAUGAGAGAGGUGUGUGGAACUCCGAGUGUAGAGGUGAAAUUCGUAGAUAUUCGGAAGAACACCAGUGGCGAAGGCGACACACUGGCUCAUUACUGACGCUGAGGCUCGAAAGCGUGGGGAGCAAACAGGAUUAGAUACCCCGGUAGU
RNAcentral lists this ribosomal RNA (439 nucleotides) under uncultured Caulobacteraceae bacterium. Its description in RNAcentral is "partial 16S ribosomal RNA". It matches the Rfam family "Bacterial small subunit ribosomal RNA", at positions 338 to 794 of the family's 1533-position model. Lineage: Bacteria; Pseudomonadati; Pseudomonadota; Alphaproteobacteria; Caulobacterales; Caulobacteraceae. The record is from RNAcentral.